CCACUUGACCUUGACAAUAGUGUGGAUGAAUAUCAGUUCUUUACACAAGCUCUGUUAACUGUGCAGAAUCGGGAUGCUGCCUGGUACCAGUUGCUGUUAGCCCCUCUCAGUGAGGACCAGAAGAGAACACUGCAGGAGGUGUACACAUUGGCAGAGCACCGAAGGACGGUGGCAGAGGCAAAGAAGAAGAUUGAACAACAGGGAGGCUUCACAUUUGAAAACAAAGGAGUUCUCUCUGCCUUUAACUUUGGGACUGUGCUGGGCAACAACUGAAGGAAGGACAUCAGCUGACCAGACGUCUUCGCUGUGUUUUAUCUCACAAUUUCACAAAGGGAGUGUGAGAGUCAAGGGGAGAUAUUAGGGGGCUGCUCUUCAGGGCUCUCCUGCUGUACCAGUUAUCAUCUGGCAUUAGGCAGUACUUUUAUCCACUCUCCCUUUCCCCUUUGACCUUUCUCACCCUGAAAUAUAUAUUUUCAACAGCUACUGUAAUGUAUGAAAUUAAAGAAAAACAGAAUCAUUGCAUUGAAAAGGACAAACCAUAUGCUCCAAAGGCUGACAGCCUAUGGUGGUUUUUAGAGGAUUGGAUUGACUUGCAGGUCUCAGGUUUUUGCCAUGCAGAAUCCAUGGAUUUAUGUGGAUAACAGUGCCUUCUAUUGUACAUGAAUUAUCAGAAAAAUUUUUUUGGAGUGCAUUGCAAUUUUUUAAAGCAUGAAACAUAUUUCUAGAUAUAAUGUAAACCUUGGUUAUAUGUCGACUUAUUCUGCAUUUUACUCUGUGAAUUUACUGUUAGGCAGUUAGCUGCAAGUCGCUCUGGUUUCAAAAACAUCACUCUCCCUUUGCCCACCCUGCUAUGGGGGCUUUCUUCAGGGGUUGUAAAAUAUGCUCUGGCUCUGGUUUUUCAUAAGUUGUUUUUUGGCUUUCCUAAGAAAUGUCUUAUUCCCUCUUCCAUCAUAUUUUUCUUCCUUGAAAGGGGUGGGAUUUCUUUCAGGAUCAACAAAUAUGCAUAUCGAUUUUAUCAGAACCUGAUACGUUCAGGACUCAGGAGCUUCUUGGAAGCAAGUGGCAGAGGCUCAUUAGUCACUGGAGUUAACAGCAAGUCUGAAGAUAUUCUGAAUCAUGUACUUAAUUAUGCAGUGAAGUAAUGAUUUUACCUAAAGCACAUUGAACUUUUAGGAGAAAGAUGCUGCGUAGCACAGUGUCUUUCUGGAUGGGGGCUUGUAUCUUCAGUAACUCAUCAUUCCAGCUGUGGUGGACCAGGGUCUGAACCAUUUUAUAAUGAAAUUGUUUAUUUAGUCACACGACUUAAACAAGUGUAACUUGCUUUCCCACACUUCUGAUUUUUCUCCUACAUAUCUUGUUUUCGUUUUUAUUAUAGCUCUGUUUGUAAGGGUUGGGUAUAUUGGUCAGUUGUAUUUUUAGAUGGGUAAUGAUCUAGGACGGCUUUUAAUAAAUAUUGCAGAUGGAGAAUUUUUCUGAACUGUUCAAGACCAGAACAUGGAUCACAGUGUGUUCAUUCAGUAAAAUGAAAAUGUAUCUUGAGAA
Ictidomys tridecemlineatus (thirteen-lined ground squirrel) is the source of this 1542-nucleotide non-coding RNA. NCBI's taxonomy places the organism in Eukaryota, Metazoa, Chordata, Mammalia, Rodentia, Sciuridae. The record is from RefSeq and is a predicted model, not a curated record.